This is a small nuclear RNA of Nerophis ophidion (straightnose pipefish), 141 nucleotides long. RefSeq annotates it as U4 spliceosomal RNA. The record is from RefSeq and is a predicted model, not a curated record. The transcript has a single exon. Lineage: Eukaryota; Metazoa; Chordata; Actinopteri; Syngnathiformes; Syngnathidae.
AUUCUUGCUCAGAGGCAGUAUCGUAGCCCAUGAAGUCUGUCUGAGGCGCAAUUAUUGCUAGUUGAAAACUUUACCCAAAACCCCGCCCGGAUGACCUGAAACAUGAUUGGUCAUGGCAAUAUUUGACAGUUCCUACGGGGA